This 514-nucleotide ribosomal RNA is filed under the name uncultured bacterium. Its description in RNAcentral is "partial 16S ribosomal RNA". It matches the Rfam family "Bacterial small subunit ribosomal RNA", at positions 28 to 523 of the family's 1533-position model. The record is from RNAcentral.
GAUGAACGCUGGCGGCGUGCCUAAUACAUGCAAGUCGAGCGAACUGAUUAGAAGCUUGCUUCUAUGACGUUAGCGGCGGACGGGUGAGUAACACGUGGGCAACCUGCCUGUAAGACUGGGAUAACUUCGGGAAACCGAAGCUAAUACCGGAUAGGAUCUUCUCCUUCAUGGGAGAUGAUUGAAAGAUGGUUUCGGCUAUCACUUACAGAUGGGCCCGCGGUGCAUUAGCUAGUUGGUGAGGUAACGGCUCACCAAGGCAACGAUGCAUAGCCGGCCUAGGAGGGUGAUCGGCCACACUGGGACUGAGACACGGCCCAGACUCCUACGGGAGGCAGCAGUAGGGAAUCUUCCGCAAUGGACGAAAGUCUGACGGAGCAACGCCGCGUGAGUGAUGAAGGCUUUCGGGUCGUAAAACUCUGUUGUUAGGGAAGAACAAGUACAAGAGUAACUGCUUGUACCUUGACGGUACCUAACCAGAAAGCCACGGCUAACUACGUGCCAGCCGCCGCCGUAA